GAUGAACGCUGGCGGCGUGCCUAAUACAUGCAAGUUGAGCGAACAGAUGAGGAGCUUGCUCCUCUGACGUUAGCGGCGGACGGGUGAGUAACACGUGGAUAACCUACCUAUAAGACUGGGAUAACUUCGGGAAACCGGAGCUAAUACCGGAUAAUAUAUUGAACCGCAUGGUUCAAUAGUGAAAGACGGUUUUGCUGUCACUUAUAGAUGGAUCCGCGCCGCAUUAGCUAGUUGGUAAGGUAACGGCUUACCAAGGCAACGAUGCGUAGCCGACCUGAGAGGGUGAUCGGCCACACUGGAACUGAGACACGGUCCAGACUCCUACGGGAGGCAGCAGUAGGGAAUCUUCCGCAAUGGGCGAAAGCCUGACGGAGCAACGCCGCGUGAGUGAUGAAGGUCUUCGGAUCGUAAAACUCUGUUAUUAGGGAAGAACAAAUGUGUAAGUAACUAUGCACGUCUUGACGGUACCUAAUCAGAAAGCCACGGCUAACUACGUG
This 497-nucleotide ribosomal RNA is filed under the name uncultured bacterium. Its description in RNAcentral is "partial 16S ribosomal RNA". It matches the Rfam family "Bacterial small subunit ribosomal RNA", at positions 28 to 507 of the family's 1533-position model. The record is from RNAcentral.